This 487-nucleotide ribosomal RNA is filed under the name uncultured Turicibacter sp. Its description in RNAcentral is "bacterial SSU rRNA". It matches the Rfam family "Bacterial small subunit ribosomal RNA", at positions 8 to 507 of the family's 1533-position model. The record is from RNAcentral. Lineage: Bacteria; Bacillati; Bacillota; Erysipelotrichia; Erysipelotrichales; Turicibacteraceae.
AGAGUUUGAUCCUGGCUCAGGAUGAACGCUGGCGGCGUGCCUAAUACAUGCAAGUCGAGCGAACCACUUCGGUGGGAAGCGGCGAACGGGUGAGUAACACGUAGGUGAUCUGCCCAUCAGACGGGGACAACGAUUGGAAACGAUCGCUAAUACCGGAUAGGACGAAAGUUUAAAGAUGCUCCUGGCAUCACUGAUGGAUGAGCCUGCGGCGCAUUAGCUAGUUGGUGGGGUAAAGGCCUACCAAGGCGACGAUGCGUAGCCGACCUGAGAGGGUGAACGGCCACACUGGGACUGAGACACGGCCCAGACUCCUACGGGAGGCAGCAGUAGGGAAUCUUCGGCAAUGGGCGAAAGCCUGACCGAGCAACGCCGCGUGAAUGAAGAAGGCCUUCGGGUUGUAAAAUUCUGUUAUAAGGGAAGAAAGGUGAUAGGAGGAAAUGACUAUCAAUUGACGGUACCUUAUGAGAAAGCCACGACUAACUACGUG